This 161-nucleotide small nuclear RNA is filed under the name Setaria italica (foxtail millet). RNAcentral's name for it is "snRNA U1". It matches the Rfam family "U1 spliceosomal RNA". Rfam says of the family: U1 is a small nuclear RNA (snRNA) component of the spliceosome (involved in pre-mRNA splicing). Its 5' end forms complementary base pairs with the 5' splice junction, thus defining the 5' donor site of an intron. Lineage: Eukaryota; Viridiplantae; Streptophyta; Magnoliopsida; Poales; Poaceae. The record is from Rfam by way of RNAcentral.
AUACUUACCUGGACGGGGUCGAUGGGCGAUCAAGAUGGCCCAUGGCCUAGAUCAGUGGCCCACAUUGCACUUGGUGGGUGCGCUGGUCUACCAUCUCCCCAAGUGGGAGAGUGGACGUCAUAAUUUGUGGUAGAGGGGGUACGCGUUCGCGCGGCCCCCGC